GCAGCAAUAGCUCAAAGUCAGAGCGCCGGUCUUGUAAGCCGGCGGCCGGAGGUUAAAAUCCUCCUUGCUGCU
This 72-nucleotide transfer RNA is filed under the name Schindleria praematura (Schindler's fish). Its description in RNAcentral is "tRNA-Thr". It matches the Rfam family "tRNA". From Rfam's summary of the family: Transfer RNA (tRNA) molecules are approximately 80 nucleotides in length. Their secondary structure includes four short double-helical elements and three loops (D, anti-codon, and T loops). Further hydrogen bonds mediate the characteristic L-shaped molecular structure. tRNAs have two regions of fundamental functional importance: the anti-codon, which is responsible for specific mRNA codon recognition, and the 3' end, to which the tRNAs corresponding amino acid is attached (by aminoacyl-tRNA synthetases). tRNAs cope with the degeneracy of the genetic code in two manners: having more than one tRNA (with a specific anti-codon) for a particular amino acid; and 'wobble' base-pairing, i.e. permitting non-standard base-pairing at the 3rd anti-codon position. Lineage: Eukaryota; Metazoa; Chordata; Actinopteri; Gobiiformes; Schindleriidae. The record is from RNAcentral.